This 465-nucleotide ribosomal RNA is filed under the name uncultured bacterium. RNAcentral describes it as "partial 16S ribosomal RNA". It matches the Rfam family "Bacterial small subunit ribosomal RNA", at positions 28 to 507 of the family's 1533-position model. The record is from RNAcentral.
GACGAACGCUGGCGGCGUGCUUAACACAUGCAAGUCGAACGGAAAGGCCCCCUUGUGGGGUACUCGAGUGGCGAACGGGUGAGUAACAACGGAGUAACCUACCCUUGACUUUGGGAUAACUUCAGGAAACUGGGGCUAAUACCGGAUAGGAGCUCCUGCUGCAUGGUGGGGGUUGGUAAGUUUCGGCGGUUGGGGAUGGACUCGCGGCUUAUCAGCUUGUUGGUGGGGUAGUGGCUCACCAAGGCUUUGACGGGUAGCCGGCCUGAGAGGGUGACCGGCCACAUUGGGACUGAGAUACGGCCCAGACUCCUACGGGAGGCAGCAGUGGGGAAUAUUGCACAAUGGGCGGAAGCCUGAUGCAGCAACGCCGCGUGCGGGAUGACGGCCUUCGGGUUGUAAACCGCUUUCGCCUGUGACGAAGCGUGAGUGACGGUAAUGGGUAAAGAAGCACCGGCUAACUACGUG